CCCUUAGAGUUUGAUCCUGGCUCAGGAUGAACGCUAGCUACAGGCUUAACACAUGCAAGUCGAGGGGAAACGAUAGAGAAAGCUUGCUUUUUCUAGGCGUCGACCGGCGCACGGGUGAGUAACGCGUAUCCAACCUGCCCAUCACUUGGGGAUAACCUUGCGAAAGUAAGACUAAUACCCAAUGAUAUCUCUAGAAGACAUCUGAAAGGGAUUAAAGAUUCAUCGGUGAUGGAUGGGGAUGCGUCUGAUUAGCUUGUUGGCGGGGUAACGGCCCACCAAGGCGACGAUCAGUAGGGGUUCUGAGAGGAAGGUCCCCCACAUUGGAACUGAGACACGGUCCAAACUCCUACGGGAGGCAGCAGUGAGGAAUAUUGGUCAAUGGGCGAGAGCCUGAACCAGCCAAGUAGCGUGCAGGAAGACGGCCCUAUGGGUUGUAAACUGCUUUUAUAAGGGAAUAAAGUGAGCCUCGUGAGG
This 474-nucleotide ribosomal RNA is filed under the name uncultured bacterium. RNAcentral describes it as "bacterial SSU rRNA". It matches the Rfam family "Bacterial small subunit ribosomal RNA", at positions 1 to 474 of the family's 1533-position model. The record is from RNAcentral.